RNAcentral lists this transfer RNA (71 nucleotides) under Neotoma lepida (desert woodrat). It matches the Rfam family "tRNA". From Rfam's summary of the family: Transfer RNA (tRNA) molecules are approximately 80 nucleotides in length. Their secondary structure includes four short double-helical elements and three loops (D, anti-codon, and T loops). The record is from Rfam by way of RNAcentral. Lineage: Eukaryota; Metazoa; Chordata; Mammalia; Rodentia; Cricetidae.
GGGAGAUGGCUCAGUGGUUAAGAGCACUGGCUGCUCUUCCAGAGGACUCUGGGUUCAAUUCCCAGCACCCA